RNAcentral lists this ribosomal RNA (227 nucleotides) under Olea europaea subsp. europaea. RNAcentral describes it as "Bacterial large subunit ribosomal RNA". It matches the Rfam family "Bacterial large subunit ribosomal RNA", at positions 1790 to 2014 of the family's 2925-position model. Lineage: Eukaryota; Viridiplantae; Streptophyta; Magnoliopsida; Lamiales; Oleaceae. The record is from Rfam by way of RNAcentral.
GCUCGGGUGACUGUUUACCAAAAACACGUCUCCAUAAAAUCUUUAGAUCAUAUAUGGGGAUUGGCAUUUGCCCAGUGCUGGAAGAUCAAAAGAGUUAGUGAUUUGAUGAUAGGAGAACCAGCGAUUGAAGUUUCGGUGAAUGGCGGUUGUAACUAUAACGGUCCUAAGAUAACGAAAUUUCUUGUCAUGUAAAUUUCGACACGCACAGAAGGCAUAACGACUUGGGC